CUGGAUGAUGAUCAACCGACAACGGAAAGGCAUUCCUCAAUCCGAACACAUGGUGUCGAAUCUGUCAAAAACAAAGUUUCAGCCUUGUCUGACC
RNAcentral lists this small nucleolar RNA (94 nucleotides) under Macrophomina phaseolina MS6. Its description in RNAcentral is "A. fumigatus snoRNA Afu_455". It matches the Rfam family "A. fumigatus snoRNA Afu_455". Lineage: Eukaryota; Fungi; Ascomycota; Dothideomycetes; Botryosphaeriales; Botryosphaeriaceae. The record is from Rfam by way of RNAcentral.